ACCUCGAUGUCGGCUCAUCGCAUCCUGGGGCUGGAGCAGGUCCCAAGGGUUUGGCUGUUCGCCAAUUAAAGCGGUACGCGAGCUGGGUUCAGAACGUCGUGAGACAGUUCGGUCCCUAUCUGCUGUGGGCGUAGGAGAUCUGAAGGAAUCUGCUCUUAGUACGAGAGGACCGGAGUGGACGAACCUCUGGUGAUCCGGUUGUUCCGCCAGGAGCACCGCCGGGUAGCUAUGUUCGGAAGGGAUAACCGCUGAAAGCAUCUAAGCGGGAAGCCCCUCCUGAGAGCGAUCUCCCGGACUUAUGUCCCUUAAGGUCACAGGUAGACUACCUGUUUGAUAGGCCGGGGGUGGAAGCAUGGCAACAUGUGAAGCCGACCGGUACUAAGCGACCGUGUGGCUUGACUUGAAUAUCCU
RNAcentral lists this ribosomal RNA (411 nucleotides) under Deltaproteobacteria bacterium. Its description in RNAcentral is "bacterial LSU rRNA". It matches the Rfam family "Bacterial large subunit ribosomal RNA", at positions 2523 to 2925 of the family's 2925-position model. Lineage: Bacteria; Pseudomonadati; Myxococcota; Myxococcia. The record is from RNAcentral.